This is a long non-coding RNA of Cyanistes caeruleus (blue tit), 769 nucleotides long. RefSeq lists it as uncharacterized. NCBI's taxonomy places the organism in Eukaryota, Metazoa, Chordata, Aves, Passeriformes, Paridae. The record is from RefSeq and is a predicted model, not a curated record.
AAGAAGAUAGUCACCUGCUUUCUUUUUCCUAAUUAUUGUUCUUCUGGGCUAACAGGUCUGUAUGCUGAUGGAGCUGAAAGGUGGCACCAGGGGUGGGAGGUGUGGUGAGGAGCAGAGGGGGGAUGUACAAAUGGACUCCUCAGCAGGGAGAACCUGGGAAGCAGCUCAGGUGCUGUUUGAGGUACAGCUUGUCUGCCUCUGAAGGAACAGCCACUUUCCCAGCAUGGAUGCAGGCUCUUGGCAGACUCCAGGCCUUUAUUUCCUGAGCCAGCUAGCUGUGGGGCUGCAGAAGAACCAGGCCAACAGAAGGGAGAAUGCCAGAAAAGCAACCAGGUCCAAUGCUGGCUCCAUGAAGCCUGAAAGAACACCUUACCUGUAGCUUCUUCCAGUCUUGAUUCUGAAGGGAAACCUACAACUAACUUUUAAAAGAUAAGCCUGAAAAUGGAAACCUAAUUGUGCAGACUCUAACAACUGCAAAUGCAUUUUAAGCACUUCACAGAACAAUGAAGUUUGCUCCUUACACACUUCAAAGUUCCAAAGGUGCUGUCACCACAUUGCUUUGCCCCUUGCCAGCUGGCCCUGAUGUCCCAUAGGUACAAAUCAUGGGGCUGGCUGAUCAAGGGCUGAAGAAUGAAAUUUGUGGCAGAGCAUCUGUUCCCACCUAGGAUGCCCAGGAGCUUUGCUAAGGGCUAGAAGAGUCUACAGCAAUACCGUCUUUCUCUUGUCAGCAGAUUGCUCAAUAUAUUGGGAGCAGUGCCUUUUCAAGUAA